GACGUAGGGACCGAGCGUUGUCCGGAAUCAUUGGGCGUAAAGAGCGUGUAGGCGGCUAUUUAAGUCCUGCGUGAAAUCCUGCGGCUCAACCGCAGACGGUCGUGGGAAACUGGAUGGCUAGAGUGCGGGAGAGGAGAGUGGAAUUCCCGGUGUAGCGGUGAAAUGCGCAGAUAUCGGGAAGAACACCCGUGGCGAAGGCGGCUCUCUGGAACGCAACUGACGCUGAGACGCGAAAGCGUGGGGAGCAAACAGG
RNAcentral lists this ribosomal RNA (253 nucleotides) under uncultured bacterium. RNAcentral's name for it is "partial 16S ribosomal RNA". It matches the Rfam family "Bacterial small subunit ribosomal RNA", at positions 524 to 776 of the family's 1533-position model. The record is from RNAcentral.